GCGGGAGUGGCGGAAUUGGCAGACGCACCAGACUUAGGAUCUGGCGCCUUACGGCGUGGGGGUUCAAGUCCCUUCUCCCGCA
Transfer RNA from Veillonella montpellierensis DNF00314, 82 nucleotides. It matches the Rfam family "tRNA". From Rfam's summary of the family: Transfer RNA (tRNA) molecules are approximately 80 nucleotides in length. Their secondary structure includes four short double-helical elements and three loops (D, anti-codon, and T loops). NCBI's taxonomy places the organism in Bacteria, Bacillati, Bacillota, Negativicutes, Veillonellales, Veillonellaceae. The record is from Rfam.